CAGAACUCAAAAACUUAGUCUCAGUUCGGAUUGUAGGCUGAAACUCGCCUACAUGAAGCUGGAGUUGCUAGUAAUCGCGAAUCAGCAUGUCGCGGUGAAUACGUUCCCGGGCCUUGUACACACCGCCCGUCACACCAUGAGAGUUGGCAAUACCCAACGUACGUGAUCUAACCCGCAAGGGAGGAAGCGUCCUAAGGUAGGGUCAGCGAUUGGGGUGAAGUCGUAACAAGGUACC
Molecule: ribosomal RNA, 235 nt
Filed under: uncultured bacterium
Lineage: Bacteria
Description: partial 16S ribosomal RNA
Rfam family: Bacterial small subunit ribosomal RNA
Source: RNAcentral